RNAcentral lists this ribosomal RNA (282 nucleotides) under uncultured Candidatus Liberibacter sp. RNAcentral describes it as "partial 16S ribosomal RNA". It matches the Rfam family "Bacterial small subunit ribosomal RNA", at positions 1154 to 1436 of the family's 1533-position model. The record is from RNAcentral. Lineage: Bacteria; Pseudomonadati; Pseudomonadota; Alphaproteobacteria; Hyphomicrobiales; Rhizobiaceae.
GGUGAUAAAACGGAGGAAGGUGGGGAUGACGUCAAGUCGUCAUGGACCUUAUGGGCUGGGCUAAACACGUGAUACAAUGGUGGUUACAAUGGGAAGGGAAGUCGAAAGGAAAAGCUAAUUCCCAAAAGCCAUCUCAAUUUGAAAAGCACUUUACAAUUUGAGUGCAUGAAGUAAGAAAAGCUCGUAAUCGCGGAUCAGCAUGGGCGCGGUGAAAAUUUCUCGGGCUUUGUUCACACCCCCCGUCACCCCAUGGGAGUUGGUUUUGCCUGAAGACGGUGUGCU